GACGAACGCUGGCGGCGUGCCUAAUACAUGCAAGUCGUGCGGACCUUUUAAAAGCUUGCUUUUAAAAGGUUAGCGGCGGACGGGUGAGUAACACGUGGGCAACCUGCCUGUAAGACUGGGAUAACGCCGGGAAACCGGGGCUAAUACCGGAUCGUUUUUCCUCCGCCUGGAGGAAAAAGGAAAGGCGGCUUCGGCUGCCACUUACAGAUGGGCCCGCGGCGCAUUAGCUAGUUGGUGGGGUAACGGCCCACCAAGGCAACGAUGCGUAGCCGACCUGAGAGGGUGGUCGGCCACAAUGGGACUGAGGCACGGCCCAAGCUUCUACGGGAGGCAGCAGUAGGGGAUCUUCCGGAAUGGGGGGAAGGCUGGCGGGGCAACGCCGGGUGGGGGAAGAAGGCCUUCGGGUCGUAAAACUCGGUUGACGGGGAAGAACAAGAGGCGUUCGAACAGAGCGGCGUCUUGACGGUACCCGACCAGAAAGCCACGGCUAACUACGUG
This 498-nucleotide ribosomal RNA is filed under the name uncultured bacterium. RNAcentral's name for it is "partial 16S ribosomal RNA". It matches the Rfam family "Bacterial small subunit ribosomal RNA", at positions 28 to 507 of the family's 1533-position model. The record is from RNAcentral.